RNAcentral lists this non-coding RNA (696 nucleotides) under Drosophila virilis. RNAcentral describes it as "Eukaryotic large subunit ribosomal RNA". It matches the Rfam family "Eukaryotic large subunit ribosomal RNA", at positions 1 to 620 of the family's 3401-position model. Lineage: Eukaryota; Metazoa; Arthropoda; Insecta; Diptera; Drosophilidae. The record is from Rfam by way of RNAcentral.
CAACCUCAACUCAUAUGGGACUACCCCCUGAAUUUAAGCAUAUUAAUUAGGGGAGGAAAAGAAACUAACAAGGAUUUUCUUAGUAGCGGCGAGCGAAAAGAAAUCAGUUCAGCACUAAGUCACUUUGUCUAUAUGGCAAAUGUGAGAUGCAGUGUACGGAACAUCAACAUUCUAGUAUGAGAAGUUAACGAUUUAAGUCCUUCUUAAAUGAGGCCAUUUACCCAUAGAGGGUGCCAGGCCCGUAUAACGUUAAUGAUUACUAGAUGGUGUUUCCAAAGAGUCGUGUUGCUUGAUAGUGCAGCACUAAGUGGGUGGUAAACUCCAUCUAAAACUAAAUAUAACCAUGAGACCGAUAGUAAACAAGUACCGUGAGGGAAAGUUGAAAAGAACUCUGAAUAGAGAGUUAAAUAGCACGUGCAAAGUGCUUAGAGGUCAAUCCCGACGAACCUUAUUAUCUCCAUAUGGAAAACUUAUCAUUAUUAUUGCAAUUUUUUACCAUUUUUUAAUAAACUUACCUCUCUUAUUCUUUUCUAAUAUGUUUAUAGUCAUGAAUACACUAUUAAUAGUUUAUAUUUAAAUUACAAUCUAAUAACACCUAUUAAAAUUCACCCGCUCCUUCCCACUACCCUGCCAUUAUUUAUUCUAUUACGCUUUACCCACGACCAUCAACCAACUCUCAAACAUGACUUUCCUUAC